ACAAUGAUGAUGUCACUGACUCUGCUGCUCUUCACCCUGGAGCUCCUCGUUCAGGCUUCAUCAGGAGAACUGCUGACUCAGACUACUGGAGCUCAGUCUGUAGUUCAAGGACAGACUGUCUCCAUCACAUGUAAAACCAGUCAAAGCCCUUACUACUGCUUCAACUGGUAUCUUCAGAAACAAGGAGAAGUCCCUAAACUUCUUAUUUAUUGUACAAACUCUCGUCAGUCUGGAGUUUCUGAUCGUUUCAGUGGAUCAUACUCUGGAUUAGAUUACACUCUGACCAUCAGUGGAGUUCAGCCUGAAGAUUCAGGAGUUUAUUACUGUCAGACUGGCCACAGCAUCAACAGUCAGUAUGUGUUCACACAGUGAAAAACCGUCGUACAAAAACCUCCAUCAGAAACUGAACUGAGAAUGAAACAGUUCACUGAACACUCCCCCA
Oryzias melastigma (Indian medaka) is the source of this 442-nucleotide non-coding RNA. Lineage: Eukaryota; Metazoa; Chordata; Actinopteri; Beloniformes; Adrianichthyidae. The record is from the annotation of a RefSeq genome assembly.